Rhopilema esculentum is the source of this 843-nucleotide non-coding RNA. The record is from RefSeq and is a predicted model, not a curated record. Lineage: Eukaryota; Metazoa; Cnidaria; Scyphozoa; Rhizostomeae; Rhizostomatidae.
GUAACAGGUCAUUCGUGCUGCACAGUCAACGCAGUCGUACAUCUAUCUCUUCAUGUCACGCCCACACCGGUAGCGACAGCUGACUCAGGCAUUAGGUUUUGCAUAUAAGUGAAUCGCAAGCAAGUUUUCUGCAGAACAUCUGGACACGACCACUCACACACGCCUGCACUGACUGAGGAUUCCUUCGUUAAACAGCAAACCUACUUUUCUUAAUACAAACUUGAACGCAGAAAUGGCCAUUCUAAGCUCAACAGUAGUCUUCUGUCUUGCAAUGGGAUCAUUUGCAGUAAUAGAUGCCUUCGAUUUAAUGGAGCAUGCAAUGAAAAAAGUUGACACUUCUGCUCUUAAUAAAGGCAUUCCUGAUGUUUUUCCGUGCAAGGGUCCUUCAAGAUAUUCACUUGAUGAGGCUAAUACGAAAAUGCUUUGCGGUGGAAGACUAUGCUUGGUACAAUGCAAAACUGGUUACAAGUCGUUCACAAAGAUUCCAUUUGUUUAUGUAUGUCAUGGUGACGGCUUGUGGACAUCAAUACCAUUUAGCAAGGCUGUCGAGGGCUAUUCGAUCAAGUGGCCAAUUUGCUUCUUUAAUGAUGGAUUUUGAAUCAGCUUGCAUUUAGAUUCUCCAAAUUAAAGAACAUUUUAACCGUAUCGAAGUAAACUUAUGUAGAGAUUGUAACUAAAAGGGCAAAGGCAUCGUUUAUGUAAUUUUAUUGUACAUAUUAACCAUAUUCAGUUGCAAUUAUCCAAACAAAUUGUUAAUUUUAUCUGUUAAAUGAGAUUGUACCUAAGACACGAACACGAUUGUUGGAAGUCAAGACAUUUAUCAAUUGUUUCAUCUAAAGCAAA